This 303-nucleotide ribosomal RNA is filed under the name uncultured bacterium. RNAcentral describes it as "partial 16S ribosomal RNA". It matches the Rfam family "Bacterial small subunit ribosomal RNA", at positions 507 to 807 of the family's 1533-position model. The record is from RNAcentral.
AGCAGUAGCCGCGGGAAUACGGAGGGUGCAAGCGUUAAUCGGAAUUACUGGGCGUAAAGCGCACGCAGGCGGUUUGUUAAGUCAGAUGUGAAAUCCCCGAGCUUAACUUGGGAACUGCAUUUGAAACUGGCAAGCUAGAGUCUUGUAGAGGGGGGUAGAAUUCCAGGUGUAGCGGUGAAAUGCGUAGAGAUCUGGAGGAAUACCGGUGGCGAAGGCGGCCCCCUGGACAAAGACUGACGCUCAGGUGCGAAAGCGUGGGGAGCAAACAGGAUUAGAUACCCGCGUAGUCCCUGUCUCUUAUAC